Molecule: non-coding RNA, 3698 nt
Organism: Triticum urartu
Lineage: Eukaryota; Viridiplantae; Streptophyta; Magnoliopsida; Poales; Poaceae
Source: RefSeq, a predicted model, not a curated record
CACCUCCCCCAGGACUGCUUUCUCUUCCUUGCUAAGCAAACCCCACCUCUUCCUCUUCAGCCUUUCUCAGGCACGCAACCUCCGCCGUCUCCGGAUCGUUCUCCCGCAUCCCUCCGCCGCCACUUCUCCUCCCCGUUCCUAGCCAAGCUCCGGCCCUCCGCCAUCCCCUCCUCCUUGACCGCCUCUCUACUCCUCUGAAGAUGGAACACGGGCCAGCUGCUACGCCUGAGCUGGCACAAGGUCAUCGGGCAGAGGAGGUCCAGCGCCGACGAGCCACUCACGCCCGUGUCUGAGGUCUCGGAGGCGCUGGAGUUGCCGGCCUUACUGAGAUGGGUCGGCGGGGAUGAUAGUGUUGGGGUCAGGAGGGAAAGGCCACCGACGAGGAUGGCGGCAUGGCAGCGGCUUGUUCGGUUAAUCCUCUCCCCAAGAGGAUUGGAGGGGAUUGGCAAGGAUUGGCUUGUAUUUUGACUUACAAGAGGUUUAAAUCCCCUUCAAACCCCUUCAAUCCACUCGGAUUCGCACCCAACCGAACAAGGCCUUAGGUGAAUUGGAAGAUGUUUUGACAUGUUAAAAUGGUGCAUCCUGUGCUAGUUGACUGGUCAAUCUUUUCAUUUGUUGGGAGCUGAAAGUUGUAUUUCCAAAUUAACAGAGGGUGAACCGUGGUUCUCAGGUGAUAUCAGAAUUAUCGAGUCCUGCCAAUCACAUGAGAUCACUGAUCUUAUUUUGGUGCAUGGUUAGCCUGAUGGUUUGAUUGUCUGUCAUCUAUCAUUAGGUACAACUGCAUACUUUGGUUUACUCAAUGUGGUAAAUGCCCAUGUCUGUUUUAUUCACGAUGAGCAGAUGCAGUAUACAACAUGAGACAACAUUCUUGGCGGCAGCUCGUGGUCCCGUUUUUUCGCAGGUAACACGACAUGAUGGUGUUCUACGGCCCAUUUGGCAUACUUUUUGUCUUCGCUUUCUUGGACGGUUAUUCAUUAGUCCAAUGCUUGACAUCAAUGUGGAUUCAUUUAGGUGUAGAUGUUGUAGGUUGCAGAUACUAAAUUUAGUCUAGGUGUAGAUGUUGCAGGUUGCAGAUACUAAAUUUAGGAUUCAUUUAGUAUCCAAUGCUUUCAUUUUCACACCGGUACUGAAUUAUUCUAUACUAAAUUUAGGAUUUAUUUUUCAGUUACACCAUGUAUUUGUUUUUUCACUUCCUGCCGGUGCUGAACUCUUUUGCUUGGCCAUGAGAAGGGCAGUGGGUGAAAAUGUUGGCUUAGAAAUUUAGAACAUCAUUGAAGUGGUCAGGGGUCUGGUCGUGUUAAGUAAACACUGUACAGAGUCAGUCUGGCACUCCUAUACAUCAAGAAUUAGCUGAACCUUUCAGCAGUAGCACAUUUAUGUAUAUGAAUUUGUGUUCGCAUAUGUUGAUCCUCUUUUAAUAUUGUAGGACCUGCCAAAUUUAGUUGCAAGUAAAGAUGCAGAUUUUUCAUAUGUUGAUGCUGUUUUUUGUUGCUUGGCACAUGUAACAACACAGGUUGGUAGCUUCAUCAUGCUUUUUCUGAGAUUUUUUUCUAUCAAUUGCUAAACUUAUGAAGGAAUCCAGUUAUAUGCUCAGCUCUCAAUUGGAAGAUAAGAUUUUGUAUCGAACACACUUAAGCAAUGUCUGAUGGCAAGUUUGUUAUCAAGAAAUUAUUAAAGGCUUAUCCCAACAACUGGAGAUUGUUGGUCCCUCUGCGGUAUGCUCUAUACAAACACAUGCUUUACCUAUGUUGGUAUCACCUCGGUUGCUAUUGAACAACCAAUCUUUCAGACUUACCAUGCUCGUAGGAUUUUCGAUUGCGUGACAUCAAUGAGUAUGCUGAGUGGUAUGGCACUAUGGCCAUGCUCAUAGGGCACUGAAACUUCAGGUGUUCUUGAGUACUAUACCCUACAGACUUGUUAAUAUACCAGCCAUUGGUUACACAAAUUUCGAAGUUACUCAGUUCUAAAGUUCCAGUUUACUGAGAUGUUUCAUCAAUUUCUUUGUACAUUACCUUUGGAGCUUGGAUUAGAUUCCUGUGUAGCCUAUGAUGUCUUCUAGUCCUCUUGUGUCAUUAUGUUUGUUUGUUGUGAACUCAUAAGAGGUUGUAUAUGGUUUGACGGAGGUUCUUCGAGAUGAAAUAAGAGAUGUGCGGCUUGUUGCCAACCCCCGCAUCUAUUCAGCUCCCUCUUGUUGCUCUAAUUAAGGUGAAAAUUAAUAAAAGUUCUUAGUCUUCCCAGAUCAAAGCAACAAGCAUUUAGACUCAAUAGCCCUUACUUGUGAACCAUCUGUUUUUGUUUUUGUAAUAUCUUUUUUAUUCUAUCCAAAAAGAGGUUGUUAUUCAUGUUAUUAUUAUUUAUUAACCUGCAUUCGAUGGUUAUGCAGUAAGACAGUAACAUGCUUCUGUGAGCAAACGUUGAUGUUUAGAUCAUGUACAACAGUGCAUGUAAAUAUCAUUUCUUUUAUUUAGAAUUCCACACACCCAAUUCAUAUGAGAGUAUCUUGAGAAGAUCAGUUCUGCCACUGCUGCUGUUGUAGAAUGAAUUGGAUGAGCUCUUCCUUUAGUUGCUGCUACUUUUAGCCCUUAUUUCCUUGAGAACAUCUUCAAAGUAUAGAUAAGAAAAUUACGUGGCUAUAGAAGGAUAUAUGUCAUUCAAUAAAACACCAAAGAAAAAUAACUUUGAAAUCUAUAUAUUUUAUUGACUGUGCACCUAUUCCAUCUACUAAAUAACUUCUGUGAGGUAAUCCUGAUCAGAAGUUUUAUACAACUUCUCUUCUUUGAAGCUUCUUUUCAUUCCCGUGCUCUCCUCUUUUAUAUGAAUUAUGUAGGUGGACCUGUUAGGCCAUAAUAUUACCAUGUGCUAAGAUUUUGUUCCUCUGUGUUGGAUUUGGUUACAAAAUCAAGGGAUAGAAAAUAUGAAUAUUCGUGUGCUGCCCACCAAUGGAACAUUUUGUUUUUUUACUGUGACUAUUCUGUAUUUUGUUUGCUUCGUCCAACAACGACGUUGACUGGACAAGAGGUAGGUUUUCCCUUUGUGUUUAGAUUCUUAUGUCUUUCCAGAUGCUCUAUUUUCAACCAAUUGAAUGAUUAUAUUAGCCCUGCAGUUGUAAUCAAUCCCCGGGAAACGAGCAACUAGAGCAAUCAAUAAUUCGUGACUACGUCUGCUUCAUGCUCUACAGGGAGUCGGAUGGCUGUCCUAAACAGAGGGUCGGUGUUGCACGAGCUGAAGCUGCGAACACCUUCAUAUCCUGAUCAUCUGAAAAUCUUUCUUAGUUGCUACAGUACUCUAUUUCAUGAGGUUCCAUAUUGAUUGAUAUUCAGCACCAAUCUGCAAAGAACCAAUAGGUGACACAUCCUGAGUCCUUCGCCGUGGCGUGGACAAGACGCCCUGCCGGAGCAGGGUGUGGAUGAGUUGGUGGCUCCGGUCACGCACACCGGCUGGUACUGCUCCGGCGAGCCACCGCUGCCGUUGCCUGUCUCAAUCUCGCUUGGCAUCAACUUUAGGCGAGGGUGCUGAACGCAGAGAAGGGAAGAAAAAACUAUGGGCGCUCUUACUAGAGCUGUAAUUAUGCACAUCCGAAAAGAAGCUAAGCUGCAGUGUGUCUGUACUGUGCUACAGACGAGAUUCGUUUGUAUUGCCUGUCAUGCAUUUCUCUUUACUUUUCACAUGAAGUAGCAACAUAAUAUGUUGAUGAAAGA